GAUGAACGCUGGCGGCGUGCCUAAUACAUGCAAGUCGAGCGAACGGACGAGAAGCUUGCUUUUCUGAUGUUAGCGGCGGACGGGUGAGUAACACGUGGAUAACCUACCUAUAAGACUGGGAUAACUUCGGGAAACCGGAGCUAAUACCGGAUAAUAUUUUGAACCGCAUGGUUCAAAAGUGAAAGACGGUCUUGCUGUCACUUAUAGAUGGAUCCGCGCUGCAUUAGCUAGUUGGUAAGGUAACGGCUUACCAAGGCAACGAUGCAUAGCCGACCUGAGAGGGUGAUCGGCCACACUGGAACUGAGACACGGUCCAGACUCCUACGGGAGGCAGCAGUAGGGAAUCUUCCGCAAUGGGCGAAAGCCUGACGGAGCAACGCCGCGUGAGUGAUGAAGGUCUUCGGAUCGUAAAACUCUGUUAUUAGGGAAGAACAUAUGUGUAAGUAACUGUGCACAUCUUGACGGUACCUAAUCAGAAAGCCACGGCUAACUACGUGCCAGCAGCCGCGGUAAUACGUAGGUGGCAAGCGUUAUCCGGAAUUAUUGGGCGUAAAGCGCGCGUAGGCGGUUUUUUAAGUCUGAUGUGAAAGCCCACGGCUCAACCGUGGAGGGUCAUUGGAAACUGGAAAACUUGAGUGCAGAAGAGGAAAGUGGAAUUCCAUGUGUAGCGGUGAAAUGCGCAGAGAUGUGGAGGAACACCAGUGGCGAAGGCGACUUUCUGGUCUGUAACUGACGCUGAUGUGCGAAAGCGUGGGGAUCAAACAGGAUUAGAUACCCUGGUAGUCCACGCCGUAAACGAUGAGUGCUAAGUGUUAGGGGGUUUCCGCCCCUUAGUGCUGCAGCUAACGCAUUAAGCACUCCGCCUGGGGAGUACGACCGCAAGGUUGAAACUCAAAGGAAUUGACGGGGACCCGCACAAGCGGUGGAGCAUGUGGUUUAAUUCGAAGCAACGCGAAGAACCUUACCAAAUCUUGACAUCCUUUGACAACUCUAGAGAUAGAGCUUUCCCCUUCGGGGGACAAAGUGACAGGUGGUGCAUGGUUGUCGUCAGCUCGUGUCGUGAGAUGUUGGGUUAAGUCCCGCAACGAGCGCAACCCUUAAGCUUAGUUGCCAUCAUUAAGUUGGGCACUCUAAGUUGACUGCCGGUGACAAACCGGAGGAAGGUGGGGAUGACGUCAAAUCAUCAUGCCCCUUAUGAUUUGGGCUACACACGUGCUACAAUGGACAAUACAAAGGGCAGCGAAACCGCGAGGUCAAGCAAAUCCCAUAAAGUUGUUCUCAGUUCGGAUUGUAGUCUGCAACUCGACUACAUGAAGCUGGAAUCGCUAGUAAUCGUAGAUCAGCAUGCUACGGUGAAUACGUUCCCGGGUCU
This 1372-nucleotide ribosomal RNA is filed under the name uncultured bacterium. RNAcentral's name for it is "bacterial SSU rRNA". It matches the Rfam family "Bacterial small subunit ribosomal RNA", at positions 28 to 1381 of the family's 1533-position model. The record is from RNAcentral.